This is a long non-coding RNA of Ornithodoros turicata, 570 nucleotides long. RefSeq lists it as uncharacterized. The record is from RefSeq and is a predicted model, not a curated record. NCBI's taxonomy places the organism in Eukaryota, Metazoa, Arthropoda, Arachnida, Ixodida, Argasidae. The transcript has 4 exons.
GCAUUGUCACCUGAGCCGCUAACUGGAAGCCCGCGAAAUUCUUUCCUCGUAGACGCAUGAGACGCUCCGUGAAGUUUUAAGUGUUUGGAAGUGCAUCUAGCGUUUGGUCUUUGGCCGACUGUACCCCCGCAAAGCAAAGCCAGCCGUGUGGACAGUGAAGAAGCAGAUAUUGCACGCUGAAAACAUCACCUCAUCACAGAUGCAUCGUGCACUCUGAGUUGACAGCCCCUUCUUGUGUGCUUCGACAAUCACUAUUCUUGGGACUCAACAUACAACAGGACACUAUCUUGUGGUCUCCAGAGACGAGUACAACCUGCGCUAUGGGAAACCGGUACACAUCUUUGUGGAAACUGGCCCUGAGACGUUUCUGAAGAUCAGGAGUAGAGAUCACAAAACGAAAAACUUUGUGUCAGUAACAUGUCUUGAGGAGCUAAUCAGAGUUGCUGUGGGUCAUGGAAUUUGUCAGGAGGGCAACAUACAGGUGUAUUUAAUGGAUGAGUUAUCACUUCGCUCUAUGGUUGCUGGUGCUGAGAAAUGCCUCGAUGACAUUUUCAUUGUUAAAAAUGGACU